UACGGAGGGGGCUAGCGUUGUUCGGAAUUACUGGGCGUAAAGCGCACGUAGGCGGUCCGACAAGUCGGGGGUGAAAUCCCGGGGCUCAACCCCGGAACUGCCUCCGAAACUGCCGGUCUGGAGGUCGAGAGAGGCGAGUGGAAUUCCGAGUGUAGAGGUGAAAUUCGUAGAUAUUCGGAGGAACACCAGUGGCGAAGGCGGCUCGCUGGCUCGAACCUGACGCUGAGGUGCGAAAGCGUGGGGAGCAAACAGG
Molecule: ribosomal RNA, 253 nt
Filed under: uncultured bacterium
Lineage: Bacteria
Description: partial 16S ribosomal RNA
Rfam family: Bacterial small subunit ribosomal RNA
Source: RNAcentral